RNAcentral lists this ribosomal RNA (253 nucleotides) under uncultured bacterium. RNAcentral's name for it is "partial 16S ribosomal RNA". It matches the Rfam family "Bacterial small subunit ribosomal RNA", at positions 524 to 776 of the family's 1533-position model. The record is from RNAcentral.
UACAGAGGGGGCGAGCGUUGUUCGGAAUUACUGGGCGUAAAGCGCACGUAGGCGGAUUGCUAAGUCAGGGGUGAAAUCCUGGAGCUCAACUCCAGAACUGCCUUUGAUACUGGCGAUCUUGAGUCCGGGAGAGGUGAGUGGAACUGCGAGUGUAGAGGUGAAAUUCGUAGAUAUUCGCAAGAACACCAGUGGCGAAGGCGGCUCACUGGCCCGGUACUGACGCUGAGGUGCGAAAGCGUGGGGAGCAAACAGG